UAGAGUUUGAUCCUGGCUCAGGAUGAACGCUGGCGGCGUGCCUAAUACAUGCAAGUCGAACGCACAGCGAAAGGUGCUUGCACCUUUCAAGUGAGUGGCGAACGGGUGAGUAACACGUGGAUAACCUACCUCAAGGUUGGGGAUAACAUUUGGAAACAGAUGCUAAUACCGAAUAAAACUUAGUAUCGCAUGAUACCAGGUUAAAAGGCGCUACGGCGUCACCUAGAGAUGGAUCCGCGGUGCAUUAGUUAGUUGGUGGGGUAAAGGCUUACCAAGACAAUGAUGCAUAGCCGAGUUGAGAGACUGAUCGGCCACAUUGGGACUGAGACACGGCCCAAACUCCUACGGGAGGCUGCAGUAGGGAAUCUUCCACAAUGGGCGAAAGCCUGAUGGAGCAACGCCGCGUGUGUGAUGAAGGCUUUCGGGUCGUAAAGCACUGUUGUAUGGGAAGAACAGCUAGAGUAGGGAAUGACUUUAGUUUGACGGUACCAUACCAGAAAGGGACGGCUAAAUACGUGCCAGCAGCCGCGGUAAUACGUAUGUCCCGAGCGUUAUCCGGAUUUAUUGGGCGUAAAGCGAGCGCAGACGGUUAAUUAAGUCUGAUGUGAAAGCCCGGAGCUCAACUCCGGAAAGGCAUUGGAAACUGGUUAACUUGAGUGCAGUAGAGGUAAGUGGAACUCCAUGUGUAGCGGUGGAAUGCGUAGAUAUAUGGAAGAACACCAGCGGCGAAGGCGGCUUACUGGACUGUAACUGACGUGAGGCUCGAAAGUGUGGGUAGCAAACAGGAUUAGAUACCCUGGUAGUCCACACCGUAAACGAUGAACACUAGGUGUUAGGAGGUUUCCGCCUCUUAGUGC
RNAcentral lists this ribosomal RNA (857 nucleotides) under uncultured bacterium. RNAcentral describes it as "bacterial SSU rRNA". It matches the Rfam family "Bacterial small subunit ribosomal RNA", at positions 1 to 846 of the family's 1533-position model. The record is from RNAcentral.